AUUUGGCGGACGGGUGAGUAACGCGUGGGAACAUACCUUUUGGUUCGGAACAACACAGGGAAACUUGUGCUAAUACCGGAUAAGCCCUUACGGGGAAAGAUUUAUCGCCGAAAGAUUGGCCCGCGUCUGAUUAGCUAGUUGGUGAGGUAACGGCUCACCAAGGCGACGAUCAGUAGCUGGUCUGAGAGGAUGAUCAGCCACAUUGGGACUGAGACACGGCCCAAACUCCUACGGGAGGCAGCAGUGGGGAAUAUUGGACAAUGGGCGCAAGCCUGAUCCAGCCAUGCCGCGUGAGUGAUGAAGGCCCUAGGGUUGUAAAGCUCUUUUGUGCGGGAAGAUAAUGACGGUACCGCAAGAAUAAGCCCCGGCUAACUUCGUGCCAGCAGCCGCGGUAAUAAU
This 399-nucleotide ribosomal RNA is filed under the name uncultured bacterium. RNAcentral's name for it is "bacterial SSU rRNA". It matches the Rfam family "Bacterial small subunit ribosomal RNA", at positions 93 to 526 of the family's 1533-position model. The record is from RNAcentral.